RNAcentral lists this ribosomal RNA (252 nucleotides) under uncultured bacterium. Its description in RNAcentral is "partial 16S ribosomal RNA". It matches the Rfam family "Bacterial small subunit ribosomal RNA", at positions 100 to 354 of the family's 1533-position model. The record is from RNAcentral.
CGGGGUGAGUAACGCGUGGAUAACCUGCCUUACACAGGGGGAUAACGCUUAGAAAUAGGCGCUAAUACCGCAUAAGCGCACAGCCUCGCAUGAGGGAGUGUGAAAAGCCUCGGCGGUGUAAGAUGGAUCCGCGUCUGAUUAGCCAGUUGGCGGGGUGACGGCCCACCAAAGCGACGAUCAGUAGCCGGCCUGAGAGGGUGGACGGCCACAUUGGGACUGAGACACGGCCCAGACUCCUACGGAAGGCAGCAG